Molecule: transfer RNA, 73 nt
Filed under: Ailuropoda melanoleuca (giant panda)
Lineage: Eukaryota; Metazoa; Chordata; Mammalia; Carnivora; Ursidae
Rfam family: tRNA
About the family: Transfer RNA (tRNA) molecules are approximately 80 nucleotides in length. Their secondary structure includes four short double-helical elements and three loops (D, anti-codon, and T loops).
Source: Rfam by way of RNAcentral
ACCUGGCUGGCUGAAUUGGAAGAGCAUGCGACUCGUGAUUUCAGGGUUGUGAGUUCAAGCCCCAUGCUGGGUG